GUUUUCUUUGACAGAGAAUGUGCUUCAGUAUUAGGACUAAUCUAGGAUCUCUCAUGCCCGGGCUUGCCGACUACAUGAUGUCUUAUGUUAGAUGAUUAAUACGGUGAUUUUUAUGAAAAAACUAGCAUCUUACGCACCUUAAUUUGUGUUCUUCCUCGGCUUUCGAGAAGUUUCUGGGAAUUGCAAUGGACCAAAUUGUUGCCCAAGGCCUGGAUUCGAAACAUGCAGCUGUAAUGCUAAUCAAUCAUACCCAUUGCUUAUCAGUCGUAAUCAAUUCCUGCUUUUUCAACUUUCUCUUUUUUGGAAAAAGCGGAAGCAUUAUCGGCCAACUGAAAAGAGUAUGUUAUAAGUACAAUGAAAUCUGGGAAAAGAACUAUGGUAAUUCUUUCUCUUCUAUUUGACCUCCAUUUGUUCUGUCAUACAAUCUAACUCACAACAAAUUGGAGGAAAGUAAUUUAUUUUUCCCUAAAUUUAUUUCUAUAAGCAAGAAUUUCAUCCGCUUUAAAAAUAACUAUUUUAAAACAUAUGCCUAACUUUUCUUCAACAUUUCUAUUACUCCCUCAGUCCCUUUUUAUAAAAGUUAAACUUU
This is a long non-coding RNA of Triticum aestivum (bread wheat), 589 nucleotides long. RefSeq lists it as uncharacterized. The transcript has 3 exons. The record is from RefSeq and is a predicted model, not a curated record. NCBI's taxonomy places the organism in Eukaryota, Viridiplantae, Streptophyta, Magnoliopsida, Poales, Poaceae.